GAUGAACGCUGGCGGCGUGCCUAAUACAUGCAAGUCGAGCGAACGGACGAGAAGCUUGCUUCUCUGAUGUUAGCGGCGGACGGGUGAGUAACACGUGGAUAACCUACCUAUAAGACUGGGAUAACUUCGGGAAACCGGAGCUAAUACCGGAUAAUAUUUUGAACCGCAUGGUUCAAAAGUGAAAGACGGUCUUGCUGUCACUUAUAGAUGGAUCCGCGCUGCAUUAGCUAGUUGGUAAGGUAACGGCUUACCAAGGCAACGAUGCAUAGCCGACCUGAGAGGGUGAUCGGCCACACCGGAACUGAGACCAGGUCCAGACUCCUACGGGAGGGAGCAGUAGGGAAUCUUCCGGAAUGGGCGAAAGCCUGACGGAGCAACGCCGCGUGAGUGAUGAAGGUCUUCGGAUCGUAAAACUCUGUUAUUAGGGAAGAACAUAUGUGUAAGUAACUGUGCACAUCUUGACGGUACCUAAUCAGAAAGCCACGGCUAACUACGUG
RNAcentral lists this ribosomal RNA (497 nucleotides) under uncultured bacterium. RNAcentral's name for it is "partial 16S ribosomal RNA". It matches the Rfam family "Bacterial small subunit ribosomal RNA", at positions 28 to 507 of the family's 1533-position model. The record is from RNAcentral.